CCUACGGGAGGCAGCAGUGAGGAAUAUUGGUCAAUGGCCGAGAGGCUGAACCAGCCAAGUCGCGUGAGGGAAGACGGCCCUACGGGUUGUAAACCUCUUUUGUCGGGGAGCAAAGCGAGUCACGUGUGACUCUUUGAGAGUACCCGAAGAAAAAGCAUCGGCGAACUCCGUGCCAGCAGCCGCGGUAAUACGGAGGAUGCGAGCGUUAUCCGGAGUUAUUGGGUUUAAAGGGUGCGCAGGCGGAGGUGCAAGUCAGCGGUAAAAUUGCGGGGCUCAACCCCGUACUGGUGGUGAAACUUCAUCCGUUGAGUGUGCGAGAAGUAGGCGGAAUGCGGGGUGUAGCGGUGAAAUGCAUAGAUAUCACGCAGAACUCCGAUUGCGAAGGCAGCAUACCGGCGCGCAACUGACGCUGAUGCACGAAAGCGUGGGUAUCGAACAGGAUUAGAUACCCGUGUAGUC
Molecule: ribosomal RNA, 459 nt
Filed under: uncultured bacterium
Lineage: Bacteria
Description: partial 16S ribosomal RNA
Rfam family: Bacterial small subunit ribosomal RNA
Source: RNAcentral